CCCGAUUUCAAUAUUCGAUCUUCAAUCCACAGAUUUUAGCAAUCUUCAAAUCUUAAUCUAAGAAACCAAUCUGUAGAUUGGUCUCCUAUCUGCUUUCCAAUAAUGUAUCUCAAGAGCCGCAAUCCUUUGUUCUGCUCGGAUAACCCGGCAAUCUUUUCCCUCUCGGAAGUUCAGUUCUACGCAAAUUACGUUUUACUCGUAUAAACUUAAUUAAAUUAUGCGCUGUGGACAGGCGAAAUAAAAUAAAAUAGGUCAAAAUAUAAAGAUAUUAAACUAUUUAAACAGCAAAAAAUGAAAAUACGUCGAAGAUAGUACUUAUUUUAAAUUAAUUGUAUAAAAACUGAAGGCUUCACAGAAUAUAAUGUCUUUGCGUUUUCCUUCAAAAAAUUAAAAUUGUCAGUUUUGUUUUCAUCCAUCAGUCAACGUCAAAGUGAAGUCGAUAAAUAUUGUAAAAUAAUAAAUUCUAAAUUAAUUAAAUAAAAUAUUGCAAUGGACAAGGAAUUGACUGGUGGCGGAGCUGGUGAAUAUUUAUACCUCGAAACAUUGCCUCGAAACGGAACUUUUGAGUGUAUCAUAAGUUUGCUGGGAAGCGCGGCCAGCAGCUUUGAAGUACCAUUUGGUGGUGAUAACAGUGAUAAUAACGGUGAAGAAACUUAAUAUUAAUAAAAGAAACCUUUAAGUAUA
Molecule: long non-coding RNA, 684 nt
Organism: Ostrinia nubilalis (European corn borer)
Lineage: Eukaryota; Metazoa; Arthropoda; Insecta; Lepidoptera; Crambidae
Exons: 2
Source: RefSeq, a predicted model, not a curated record